AGCGGACAGAUGGGAGCUUGCUCCCUGAUGUUAGCGGCGGACGGGUGAGUAACACGUGGGUAACCUGCCUGUAAGACUGGGAUAACUCCGGGAAACCGGGGCUAAUACCGGAUGGUUGUUUGAACCGCAUGGUUCAAACAUAAAAGGUGGCUUCGGCUACCACUUACAGAUGGACCCGCGGCGCAUUAGCUAGUUGGUGAGGUAACGGCUCACCAAGGCAACGAUGCGUAGCCGACCUGAGAGGGUGAUCGGCCACACUGGGACUGAGACACGGCCCAGACUCCUACGGGAGGCAGCAGUAGGGAAUCUUCCGCAAUGGACGAAAGUCUGACGGAGCAACGCCGCGUGAGUGAUGAAGGUUUUCGGAUCGUAAAGCUCUGUUGUUAGGGAAGAACAAGUACCGUUCGAAUAGGGCGGUACCUUGACGGUACCUAACCAGAAAGCCACGGCUAACUACGUGCCAGCAGCCGCGGUAAUACGUAGGUGGCAAGCGUUGUCCGGAAUUAUUGGGCGUAAAGGGCUCGCAGGCGGUUUCUUAAGUCUGAUGUGAAAGCCCCCGGCUCAACCGGGGAGGGUCAUUGGAAACUGGGGAACUUGAGUGCAGAAGA
This 608-nucleotide ribosomal RNA is filed under the name Bacillus sp. (in: firmicutes). RNAcentral describes it as "bacterial SSU rRNA". It matches the Rfam family "Bacterial small subunit ribosomal RNA", at positions 65 to 655 of the family's 1533-position model. Lineage: Bacteria; Bacillati; Bacillota; Bacilli; Caryophanales; Bacillaceae. The record is from RNAcentral.